This 224-nucleotide long non-coding RNA is filed under the name Elaeis guineensis (African oil palm). Its description in RNAcentral is "long non-coding RNA (EGUI_LNC080446)". Lineage: Eukaryota; Viridiplantae; Streptophyta; Magnoliopsida; Arecales; Arecaceae. The record is from RNAcentral.
UGGUGCUAGAUUAUCGAUCAUAAUCGUAGAGUUAGUGGACUGUUUAUUCUCACUAAUGAUCGUGACACGUAAUCGAUAACCAUUCAUAAUGAUUAGGGUAUGUUGAGCAGAUAAGCCGACUAUAUGUUCGUAAUACUGAUACGUCGGUAGAGGUAAGUCAGUAGAAGAUUCGAAUGACCAUCAACUAGUAACUUUGAUAUGCCAAUGAUCUUCAGUCAGAGGUU